GGAGGCCGGCGGUGGGCGGUGCCGGGGCACCCGGAUGUGCGGGGGCACCGCGGGGCCGCCGCUGACUCACCCGCCCCGCCCGCCGCGCCUGCGCCUGGCCCGGCCCGGGAGCGGGGCCGCGUCGCGCCGCGCUGGGCCCGGCCGGCGGCUCGGGGGCGGCCCCUGCUCUGUCGCUGUGCCUGUGGAGGGUAAUGCGUGCGGCUACGUGUAACAAACGGACGCGCGUUGAAUCUCUUAACACCGGUGAAAACGCAUUAGAGAACUUUUUAACAGGGCCACAGAAGUAAAUAGGUUGAAAAGACCUCCGAGAUCAUCGAGUUCAAUCUAUGAUCAAACACCACCUCAUCGACUAGACUAUACCACUAAGAGCCACAGCCAGUCUUAAAGACCUCCAGGGACGGUGGCUGCACCACCUGUCUGGACAGCCCAUUCCAAUGUCUAAUGACCCUUUCUACGAAGUAAUUCUUCCUGAUGUCCAAUCUAAGUUUCCCCGGCCCAGUUUCGGGCUGUCUUCUCGUCCUGUCACUUCCUACCUGAAAGAGCCCGACUCCUACCUGGAUACAACCUCCUCUCAGACAGUUGUAGAGAAUGAUUUAUUUGCCUUCCACUCCCAGUAUGGGGAAUCAACUUAGAUGACCAAAUUCAUUUUUACAUCGCAGUGGUGCCAACAGCUGAAGAGAAUCUGAUGUCACCAUUAAAAAACAUCAUGCAACAUGACAGAGGGUCUAGAAUCGUGCUGAGGAACUGAAAUAGUAAUAGAUAGGUCUGAAUUUUUCUCUGAUUAGAUACCACUGUUGCAGUGCUUAUUCUUGGGUUAGAUUUUGAAAAAAAGGUCAAAAAUUUUUGCACUUUACAAGGCAAAAAUUCCCUAUAAAAUGAUUUAGAAAUGCACAAGACAUUAUAUCCCAAUUCAGAGGCAGCAGUGGGAAUAUAGGAACAUGCACACAUACACACAGGACAGCAUUCUGCUCAACUUCCAGGUUCAAGCAUCAGUAAGUUGUGUUAAAGAGAAAACAAGCCUGAAGAGCCUAGCGAGUUACAUUUAACACUCCUUUUAUUGCAGUAGAAAUUUUAGUUUUUAUCAAAUCCUCAAAUUACAGGAUAUACACAUAAUCAAUCUCAUUGCAAGUCUUUAGCAGCUGUACAGCAUUAACUGCAUGCAGUUGCUUCUGCAGUGUGCAAGUAUUCCAUAAACAGCUAAUCACGUUCAGAGAGCAAGACAAGUAGUCAAAGAAUAUCAUAUUCAGUUACCAACUGGUUCAUUAGUACCAAGAGGUUGAGCAAAAAAACCAAUGAAAUAAGUUUAUAAAUACAUGGUUCUGAUCUAAAAACUAAUACAACUGGAAAAUUUGAAUGAUAUCCAUAUCACAAACAAGAUAACUCAAUAGUUACAGGAAAAUACUUUGCUUCAAGACUGUUUUUGAAACUGUUUUCUCAUAAGGUUUCUCUGACCAUGGAAGAAUAGUUGAGUGCUACAGAAUUUUACAAAAGGCCCAUGAAAGCCCUUUAUGCAAUUAGAAUACUAACAAUAACUACAGAAAAUUCGGCAAAUAUUGAAUUUGAAUUUCUUUAAAGAAGUUGUGUUCAGACAGUAUUAUUUUUCCAUGACUUACCCUUCAGCUUCUGGGUGAAUGCAUAACCAGUGUAAUUAAUUUAAGCACUUAACUUAAUAUUCACUUCUGUAGUCAUGACACUGGCUUCAGAUCAGUCAUCAGAUGGAUUUAUGCCAAGAAAUCCUACACCCAUUUGUUUCAGAAGCUGCCUAAACAGGUGCAAUUCUUUAUGCAAAUUUCUCAUCACAAUGAGGGUCUCAGAAACUGGAAUAACAAUUUGUACAGAGCUACCUACAGAUUAAUUUUCUAAAAAGCUAACAUGCUUGAAUUACUGCAGUCUCACAUUUGUGUGGACACUAGAACAAAUCUGCAAUGACUCUGCAAAAUGUACUUCAUUCACAUUAAUUAGUUCAUUUGAGACAUGAUUAAAAGUUUAAGCAUUGUAUUUUAGUCUUAAAAUCCUACAGGUCAGCAGUUUGGCUUGGUAAAACAACUUGUUAUGACAAGAUAACUUCACAGAGUUUUCUGUAAUCAGUCUUGGUAUUUCUUCCAACAGCGUAAUGUAAGAUUGGGACAAAAGGCAGAAACAUGGGAGAAUUCUUUUUAAGUAUUAUUAAUAAAAAUAGCCUCUUGUUCAGAAAGCAGUGUUAUCUCUGUCAGCUUGAUAGAUUUUAAUCCCUUGUGUUAACUUCAAAGUGGGCUGUAUCUCUACACUUAGGAU
Molecule: non-coding RNA, 2274 nt
Organism: Taeniopygia guttata (zebra finch)
Lineage: Eukaryota; Metazoa; Chordata; Aves; Passeriformes; Estrildidae
Source: RefSeq, a predicted model, not a curated record